AGCAGCCGCGGUAAUUCCAGCUCCAAUAGCGUAUAUUAAAGUUGCUGCAGUUAAAAAGCUCGUAGUUGAAUUUCGGGACUAAUAUGUCGGUCGUGCCUCGGUACGUACUGGCUUAUUGGUUUCUCCUUUCUGAAGAACCAUGAUGUCAUUUAUUUGGUGUCGUAGGGAAUCAGGACUGUUACUUUGAAAAAAUUAGAGUGUUUAAAGCAGGCUCACGCUUGAAUACAUUAGCAUGGAAUAAUGAAAUAGGACGUUUGAUUCUAUUUUGUUGGUUUCUAGGAUCGACGUAAUGAUUAAUAGGGAUAGUUGGGGGCAUUAGUAUUCAAUUGUCAGAGGUGAAAUUCUUGGAUUUAUUGAAGACUAACUACUGCGAAAGCAUUUGCCAAGGAUGUUUUCAUUAAUCAAGAACGAAAGUUAGGGGAUCGAAGACGAUCAGAUACCGUCGUAGUCUUAACCAUAAACUAUGCCGACUAGGGAUCGGAUGAUGUUAAUUUUUUAAUGACUCAUUCGGCGCCUUACG
This 520-nucleotide ribosomal RNA is filed under the name uncultured Glomus. RNAcentral describes it as "SSU rRNA". It matches the Rfam family "Eukaryotic small subunit ribosomal RNA", at positions 569 to 1092 of the family's 1831-position model. Lineage: Eukaryota; Fungi; Glomeromycota; Glomeromycetes; Glomerales; Glomeraceae. The record is from RNAcentral.